Molecule: unclassified non-coding RNA, 105 nt
Filed under: uncultured Basidiomycota
Lineage: Eukaryota; Fungi; Basidiomycota
Description: sequence contains ITS1
Source: RNAcentral
GAGAUGGUGCGCAAGCACUUUUCCAAUUCAUACACCUGUGCACUGUGGUCUUCGGACCGUCUUACAAACAUUGUAGUCAUGAACGUCUUUUAUUAUAACAAAAUA